This 1033-nucleotide ribosomal RNA is filed under the name Preussia australis. Its description in RNAcentral is "partial 18S ribosomal RNA". It matches the Rfam family "Eukaryotic small subunit ribosomal RNA", at positions 76 to 1117 of the family's 1831-position model. The record is from RNAcentral. Lineage: Eukaryota; Fungi; Ascomycota; Dothideomycetes; Pleosporales; Sporormiaceae.
AUACCGUGAAACUGCGAAUGGCUCAUUAAAUCAGUUAUCGUUUAUUUGAUAGUACCUUACUACUUGGAUAACCGUGGUAAUUCUAGAGCUAAUACAUGCUAAAAACCCCGACUUCGGGAGGGGUGUAUUUAUUAGAUAAAAAACCAAUGCCCUUCGGGGCUCUUUGGUGAUUCAUGAUAACUUAACGGAUCGCAUGGCCUUGCGCCGGCGACGGUUCAUUCAAAUUUCUGCCCUAUCAACUUUCGAUGGUAAGGUAUUGGCUUACCAUGGUUUCAACGGGUAACGGGGAAUUAGGGUUCGAUUCCGGAGAGGGAGCCUGAGAAACGGCUACCACAUCCAAGGAAGGCAGCAGGCGCGCAAAUUACCCAAUCCCGACACGGGGAGGUAGUGACAAUAAAUACUGAUACAGGGCUCUUUUGGGUCUUGUAAUCGGAAUGAGUACAAUUUAAACCCCUUAACGAGGAACAAUUGGANNNNNNNNNNNNNNNNNNNNNNNNGGGUAAUUCCAGCUCCAAUAGCGUAUAUUAAAGUUGUUGCAGUUAAAAAGCUCGUAGUUGAACCUUGGGCCUGGCUGGCCGGUCCGCCUCACCGCGUGUACUGGUCCGGCCGGGCCUUUCCUUCUGGAGAGCCCCAUGCCCUUCACUGGGCGUGCGGGGGAACCAGGACUUUUACUUUGAAAAAAUUAGAGUGUUCAAAGCAGGCCUUUGCUCGAAUACGUUAGCAUGGAAUAAUAGAAUAGGACGUGCGGUCCUAUUUUGUUGGUUUCUAGGACCGCCGUAAUGAUUAAUAGGGAUAGUCGGGGGCAUCAGUAUUCAAUUGUCAGAGGUGAAAUUCUUGGAUUUAUUGAAGACUAACUACUGCGAAAGCAUUUGCCAAGGAUGUUUUCAUUAAUCAGUGAACGAAAGUUAGGGGAUCGAAGACGAUCAGAUACCGUCGUAGUCUUAACCGUAAACUAUGCCGACUAGGGAUCGGGCGAUGUUUCUAUCUUGACUCGCUCGGCACCUUACGAGAAAUCAAAGUUUUUGGGUUCUGG